RNAcentral lists this ribosomal RNA (427 nucleotides) under uncultured bacterium. RNAcentral's name for it is "partial 16S ribosomal RNA". It matches the Rfam family "Bacterial small subunit ribosomal RNA", at positions 355 to 774 of the family's 1533-position model. The record is from RNAcentral.
UGGGGAAUAUUGCACAAUGGGCGCAAGCCUGAUGCAGCCAUGCCGCGUGUAUGAAGAAGGCCUUCGGGUUGUAAAGUACUUUCAGCGGGGAGGAAGGCGAUGUGGUUAAUAACCGCGUCGAUUGACGUUACCCGCAGAAGAAGCACCGGCUAACUCCGUGCCAGCAGCCGCGGUAAUACGGAGGGUGCAAGCGUUAAUCGGAAUUACAGGGCGUAAAGCGCACGCAGGCGGUCUGUCAAGUCGGAUGUGAAAUCCCCGGGCUCAACCUGGGAACUGCAUCCGAAACUGGCAGGCUUGAGUCUCGUAGAGGGGGGUAGAAUUCCAGGUGUAGCGGUGAAAUGCGUAGAGAUCUGGAGGAAUACCGGUGGCGAAGGCGGCCCCCUGGACGAAGACUGACGCUCAGGUGCGAAAGCGUGGGGAGCAAACA